UUUAUCUUCUUCUUUUUUU
RNAcentral lists this small RNA (19 nucleotides) under Arabidopsis thaliana (thale cress). Its description in RNAcentral is "ATSL295170". The record is from RNAcentral. Lineage: Eukaryota; Viridiplantae; Streptophyta; Magnoliopsida; Brassicales; Brassicaceae.